Molecule: ribosomal RNA, 490 nt
Filed under: Typhlocypris sp. 27 IK-2017
Lineage: Eukaryota; Metazoa; Arthropoda; Ostracoda; Podocopida; Candonidae
Description: partial large subunit ribosomal RNA
Rfam family: Bacterial large subunit ribosomal RNA
Source: RNAcentral
AAAACAUUUCCUUUAGGGUUGAUUAAAGGUGAGGUCUGCUCAAUGAAAAUUAAAUGGCCGCAGUAUGAUGACUGUGCUAAGGUAGCAUAAUAAUUUGUCUUUUAAUUGGGGACUGGAAUGAAGGAUUUUAUGGAAGAUAGCUGUUUCAGCAAAAGUUAUAUUGAAUUUAAGGUUUUUAUAAAAACUUAGAAGGGAUCUUAAGGGACGAGAAGACCCUGUGGAUUUUUACUUCUUACAGAGAUGAAUUUUAUGAGUUUUUAUUUUUGGAUGAAGUUUGGUUGGGACGACAGUAGGAAGGUAACUUUAUUAUAAGAUAAUGGGAUCCUUAUUAAGGAAAAAAGAAUAAAUUACCCCAGGGAUAACAGCGUAAUGUUUUUGGACAGGGCAUAUGGAUAAAAAUGUUUGCGACCUCGAUGUUGAAUUAAAAUUUCUUUAUUAAGUACAAAUAAUAAUAGUAAGUCUGUUCGACUUUAAAAAUUUUACGUGAUCU